GAUGAACGCUGGCGGCGUGCCUAACACAUGCAAGUCGAACGGAAAGACGAUGAGCUUGCGCCUUUGACGUUAGCGGCGGACGGGUGAGUAACGAGUGGAUCACCUACUUCUAUUUCGGGGAGAAUUACGGGAAACCGGAUAUAAUACUAGAGAAUAUAAUGUACCGCAGGGUGCAAUGGUGAUUGGCGGCUUUGGUGUCUGUAAUAGAUGGUUCCGUGCCGCAUUAGCUAGUUGGUAAGGUAACGGCUUACCAAGGCAACGAUGCGUAGCUGAGCUGAGAGGGUGAUCGGCCACACUGGAACUGAGACACGGUCCAGACUCCUACGGGAGGCAGCAGUAGGGAAUAUUGGGCAAUGGGCGAAAGCCUGACGCAGCAAUGCCGCGUGAGUGAUGAAGGCCUUCGGAUCGUAAAGCCCUUUUAUUGGGAAAGAACAGCUGUAUAAUUAACCAUGGACGUCUUGACGGUACCUAAUCAAAAAGCAACGGCUAACUACGUG
Molecule: ribosomal RNA, 497 nt
Filed under: uncultured bacterium
Lineage: Bacteria
Description: partial 16S ribosomal RNA
Rfam family: Bacterial small subunit ribosomal RNA
Source: RNAcentral